GGGUCAGGUUGGGAAAACAUGAGGAAUGGCUGACUCCAAAGCAUGUGGUGGGUGUAGGGUGAUGAAAGGAGGCCCAGUUGUCACUCACUCCUCUCUCCCUCCGAAGGGUGCUGGCUGAGCUGCUGGAGCUAGGGUGUCCUGAGCAGAGCCUGCGGGACGCCAUCACCCUGGACCUCUUCUGCCACGCGCUCAUUUUCUGCCGCCAGCAGGGCUUCUCACUGGAGCAGACGUCAGCAGCUUGUGCCCUGCUCCAGGAUCUUCACAAGGCUUGUAUUGGCCACGUCCAUGUCCUCCGAGCCUACAUCAAGACCCAAGUGAACAAAGAGCUGGAGCAGCUCCAGGGGCUGGUGGAGGAGCGGCUCAAGGCCAGCGAGGAAAGGCUCAGCAGCAAGUUGACUGCACUAGAGCAGCCCUUCCAGCUACCUCCGGGUAAAGGCAAGAGCAAGACCAAGUGACCCCCAACAUUUUCCCCAAUAAAGGUCUGGGCCAGAAUGGC
Molecule: small RNA, 496 nt
Filed under: Pan troglodytes (chimpanzee)
Lineage: Eukaryota; Metazoa; Chordata; Mammalia; Primates; Hominidae
Description: retained intron
Source: RNAcentral